UUGCUUUCUAAACAAGUCUUUUCUGAAGUUAGUGAACUUGUUAGGUACCAGUUUGAGUCCUAAAGGUUCAAACCUGGGUAUGCCUCCACAUUCCCAAUGUUUACUCCAGUGUACCAGGCAUUAACUAAAAGCCUUUGAUGUGGAGAUAACUUAAAAAUGAAAGUCAGUCCCCAACGAGUGGGAAGUCCAGAAGGAUGUUGGUAUAAGUGAGCCGUCUGCAUUUUAUAUCUGUCAGCAUGCAAGGUUGGCCCAGUCUCUGCAUUGUCAUUUUGGUGGUUUUUCAAAUUCUGGCCUGUAUGACCACUCCAAAGCUCUCAGUACCAAGAAGAGGCUACACUUGUGUCACUGCCUCCCUCCAGCUGUCUUAUGUGUAUUGUGUUUCUCUGAAGGGCACAGAGUCAUGCAACAACAGUCCCCAGUACUCCGAAUUGACUUUGAUUCCUAAGGAUGACACUCCGUAAGUGGAGUGACAUGGGCAAAUGACUUGUCAGAGGUGUAUGGAUGGCUUGUGCACAGCCUCCAGAGUCUGACUCGAUUGAGAUAGCUGAGAAGCUCCCAUCACCGUCAUCAUGGGGCAGCACUGAGCUGGUGCUAGAAACUGAUUCAGUCCGACUGCACACAUCUUGGUCCAGGAAAAUAGACCCCAAAGCUGAUGGUGACAGCAUUGUGGACCUAGGUAGGAAUCCUGUGAGGAAGAAUUCAGCCUGCCUGUACAGCUGAGGGGGCUUCCAAGGUGACCUGUGACCUGCCAAGGUGAAGAGGAAGGGCUCCCAAGCAUCAGGAAUGGCGUAAGAGAUGGGUGAGGACUUGGGUGCAGGGCCAGGGGGUAAGGCUGGGCUGAGACUGGUCCAAUGUUCCUGACACCCAGGAAAGGGAUCCUUCCAAGGUACCCAGUGGAUUUGAUGGAAUUAGGGGUUAGGUAACAUGCACUACACAAGGAAGAAAUAAGCCCAGAGAAGAUAACUGGCCCAAGGUCCCACAGCACACCUACAUAGGGGCUAGACCCUGUGGCUUCUGACUAGGCUAACUUUGUCUUCCAUACAGCCUUGAAGUCCCUGUUGCACUGUGAAGGACUUAAGACAGGAUUUUCUGAUUCUUGGGGUGGUUAGAUGUAGGGAAGAUAGUAGCUUUCAGGGUCCUGGCUUGAUCUUGGGUAAAGAUGCAACAGAGGGGCCUGGAGCCAUCUGAAGUGAUCACCUCCAGACUGAAACAGCCCCAGUGAGGGAGCAGGAUGUCAUCCCGUAGUGUACCCCACAAGGUGUUUUGUUUGUACAAGCUUUUGUUUGGGCACACUUGCUGUUGUUUUGUCCCCAUGCUAGAGGAGUUCCCAGAUGAAAGCAGGCACAUGACAGAGGUGAAACUUGAGGGAGGAAACAAUUGAUGACUUUUGAGGACAGGCUUGUGACAAAAAGCCUUACAA
Molecule: long non-coding RNA, 1420 nt
Filed under: Equus asinus (donkey)
Lineage: Eukaryota; Metazoa; Chordata; Mammalia; Perissodactyla; Equidae
Description: lncRNA (ENSEASG00005037053.1)
Source: RNAcentral